Molecule: ribosomal RNA, 494 nt
Filed under: Enterobacteriaceae bacterium MT 3F
Lineage: Bacteria; Pseudomonadati; Pseudomonadota; Gammaproteobacteria; Enterobacterales; Enterobacteriaceae
Description: bacterial SSU rRNA
Rfam family: Bacterial small subunit ribosomal RNA
Source: RNAcentral
CAUCGAACGGNAACAGGAAGCAGCUUGCUGCCCGCUGACGAGUGGCGGACGGGUGAGUAAUGUCUGGGAAACUGCCCGAUGGAGGGGGAUAACUACUGGAAACGGUAGCUAAUACCGCAUAAUGUCGCAAGACCAAAGAGGGGGACCUUCGGGCCUCUUGCCAUCGGAUGUGCCCAGUAUGGUUAUUAGCUUGUUGGUGAGGCAACGGCUCACCAAGGCGACGAUCCCUAGCUGGUCUGAGAGGAUGACCAGCCACACUGGAACUGAGACACGGUCCAGACUCCUACGGGAGGCAGCAGUGCGGAAUAUUGCACAAUGGGCGCAAGCCUGAUGCAGCCAUGCCGCGUGUAUGAAGAANGCCUUCUGGCUGUAAAGUACUUUCAGCGGGGAGGAAGGGGUUAANGUUAAUAACCNUAGCCAUUGACGUUACCCGCAGAAGAAGCACCGGCUAACUCCGUCCAGCUCCGCGGUAAACGGAGGGUGAAGCGUUAUCG